CAAGUCGAACGGGCUCUUCGGAGCUAGUGGCGGACGGGUGAGUAAUACAUAGGAAAUCUGCCUUUAAGUGGGGGACAACAAUCCGAAAGGGUUGCUAAUACCGCGUAAUGUCAUUAGUUGAAAUGCUAGUGAAGAAUGACUUAUCGCUUUUAGAGGAGCCUAUGCUUGAUUAGCUAGUUGGUGGGGUAAAGGCCUACCAAGGCUACGAUCAAUAGCUGGUCUGAGAGGACGAUCAGCCACACUGGGACUGAGACACGGCCCAGACUUCUACGGAAGGCAGCAGUGGGGAAUUUUCCGCAAUGGGCGCAAGCCUGACGGAGCGACGCCGCGUAUGGGAUGAAGUAUUUCGGUAUGUAAACCAUUGUCAGUGGGGACGAAACAAAUGACGGUACCCACAGAGGAAGCAUCGGCUAACUACGUGCCAGCAGCCGCGGUAAUACGUAGGAUGCAAGCGUUGUUCGGAAUUACUGGGCGUAAAGAGUACGUAGGCGGUUUGACAAGUCUGAAAUUAAAGACUGGGGCUUAACCUCAGGAAUGUAUCGGAAACUGUCAGACUAGAGGACAAUAGAGGAAGUCGGAAUUCUCAGUGUAGCGGUGAAAUGCGUAGAUAUUGGGAAGAACACCAGUGGCGAAAGCGGACUUCUGGGUUGUUACUGACGCUGAGGUACGAAAGCGUGGGGAGCAAACGGGAUUAGAUACCCCGGUAGUCCACGCUGUAAACGAUGGAUACUAGGUGUAGCCGGUCUCGACCCCGGCUGUGCCGUAGCUAACGCAAUAAGUAUCCCGCCUGGGGAGUAUGGCCGCAAGGUUGAAACUCAAAGGAAUUGACGGGGGCCCGCACAAGCGGUGGAGGAUGUGGUUUAAUUCGACGCACCGCGAAGAACCUUACCAAGGCUUGACAUC
RNAcentral lists this ribosomal RNA (903 nucleotides) under uncultured Bacillota bacterium. Its description in RNAcentral is "bacterial SSU rRNA". It matches the Rfam family "Bacterial small subunit ribosomal RNA", at positions 58 to 988 of the family's 1533-position model. Lineage: Bacteria; Bacillati; Bacillota. The record is from RNAcentral.